CAACAGGGAUUGCCUCAGUAGCGGCGAGUGAAGCGGCAAGAGCUCAGAUUUGAAAUCUCACCUAGUGUGCGAGUUGUAAAUUGCAGGUUGGAGUCUCGGGUUAGACGUGUGUGCAAGUCCCUUGGAACAGGGUGCCACUGAGGGUGAGAGCCCCGUAGCGUGCAUGUCGACACCUGUGAGGCCCUUCUGACGAGUCGAGUUGUUUGGGAAUGCAGCUCUAAGUGGGUGGUAAAUUCCAUCUAAGGCUAAAUAUUGGCGAGAGACCGAUAGCGAACAAGUACUGUGAAGGAAAGAUGAAAAGCACUUUGAAAAGAGAGUGAAACAGCACGUGAAAUUGUUGAAAGGGAAGGGUAUUGGGCUCGACAUGGGAUUUACGCAUCGUUGCCUCUCGUGGGCGGCGCUCUGGGUUUUUCCUGGGCCAGCAUCGGUUUUCGUUGCAGGAUAAGGACAAUUGGAAUGUGGCUCCUCGGAGUGUUAUAGCCUUUUGUAGAUGCUGCGUAUGGGGACCGAGGGCUGCGGCGGACUCGUUUCGUCUCGGAUGCUGGCACAACGGCGCAAUACCGCCCGUCUUGACAC
This 576-nucleotide ribosomal RNA is filed under the name Pichia kluyveri. RNAcentral's name for it is "eukaryotic LSU rRNA". It matches the Rfam family "Eukaryotic large subunit ribosomal RNA", at positions 66 to 660 of the family's 3401-position model. Lineage: Eukaryota; Fungi; Ascomycota; Pichiomycetes; Pichiales; Pichiaceae. The record is from RNAcentral.